UCCGCACUCACUGACCGGCAAUGUUCACCACAUCCAGCUCUCUCAUGGGCGGUGCCGGCGGCCCGUCGGCUCGCCCACCCGGCGGCGUCUUCGCCGGCACACCCGGCGCGGUUGCAGCGCGGCUGACACCGAGCCAGUACUGGCUUCGUCAGCGCCAGGAGGCUGUGUUGGCGGAAAUGAUCAGGAUGGCCGUGCCGCUGGACGCGCAGGGCAAUAUGGUGGCGGAGCGGUACUCGACCGCUGCCGCCGCCUCUGCUGAGCCGGUCAUCACAACGUGGCGUCUUCUCAUCUUCGACGACUGGGGCCGCGACAUCAUUGCGCCGCUCCUAAAGGUCGGCCAACUGCGCGAACUUGGCGUCACCCUGUACCUGCACAUCGCCACGGAGCGUGAUCCGGUGCCGGGGGCCCCGGCCAUCUACUUUUGCGCGCCGACAGAGGAGAACAUCACCCGCAUCGCGAAGGACUGCGCGCAGAACCUGUAUGAGUGGGUCUACCUCAACUUCACAACGCAGAUCCCGCGACCGCAGCUGGAGUUGCUGGCGCAGCAGCUCAGCGCCUCGCCACUAGAGUCGAUUCGGCACAUCCACGUGUACGACCGCACGUUGAGCUACGUGGCCUUGGAGGACGACCUCUUCUCCCUCAUGCUGAACAACUCCUUCCCGCUGCUUAACAAGACAAACGCCAAGGACGAAGAAAUAGAGACACACCUCAAUCAGGUCGUUCUGGGCAUCUCACACGUGUGUCUGUCACUGCAGGUGCUGCCCAUCCUGGUGCACUCCCGCUCCGGCGCUGCGGCGGAGGUCGCUCGACGGCUCUCUGUGCGGCUGAACGACGCGCUGAACGACCGGCAGCUGACACCGGCGCCCUCCUCGGUGCUGGGGCGGCCGCUGCUUCUUCUCGUCGAUCGCUCCAGCGACCUCGCAACGGCGCUGCACCACCCCUUCACGUACCGCGGCCUUCUCGUCGAGAUCGGCGGCAUGAAGCUGAACAAGUGCACCAUCACCACUCCAGACGGGAAGGACGAGAUACUCGAGGUGGAUCCUGACAAGGACGAGGUCUACCGCGAGAACGCCAACCUCGAGUUCGGCACUGUCGGCGGCAACAUCGAAGCCGCGCUGCGCCGCUACAAGGAGGAGUACGCCGCGCUGGCACAAGAGGCACCCGGCGGUGCCGGUGGCAUGAUGGGCGACGGCGGCGACGGCAACGACAUGUCGAAGCUGCUGGCGAACGCGCCAGCGCUGGCGGAGCGGAAGCGCUGCCUCGAUGCCCACACAAAGCUUGCCUUCAGUAUCCUCAGCAAGAUUCGCUUGAGGCACCUGGACCACUACCACGGUGUGGAGCUGGCCGUACUGCAACAGGAGGGGCUCGACGAGCAGGAGUUUCACAACCUGCUGACCAACAGCCUCGGCACCACAGAGGACAGACAGCGGCUGUACCUCAUCGCAUACCUGAUGUGCGCCAAAGAAGAGGAGGCACGCUACGUGCAGAGCCACGAGGGCGCCGUCAGCGAAGGGGCCGCCGGCUUCCCGGCUCUUGCAUAUUUGAAGCACCUGCGGAACUGGUCCCUGGCGACGCAGAGCCCCAGCGCGGCGCAGCCGAACCCCAGUCAGGGCUUUGGCUGGGGUUUUGCGCAGCAGAUCGCCAAGAACAUUGCGAGCUCGCUGGGGAGCAAGACAGAGACGAUGCUGCCGCUCACGAAGCUGGUGGACGCACUCAUGCAGGACGGACCUGGCGGCGCGCCAGGUUCGGCGAGCAGCGGUGGUGCAAGCGGUGUGGGCGGCUCGUACAACAGCCCGACGAGCGCACUUCCUGGUGGCAGCAGCGGCGCAUCCGGUAGCCUGCGCGGCAAGCUGCUUGAAACCGUCGAAGCGUACGACCCUCGCACGAAGAAGCCGGUGGACCUGCGCGAAGCGGUCUUCUCGCAAGCGAUCGUGUUUGCCCUCGGUGGUGGCAGCGUGGCGGAGUACGACAACUUGAAGGCAUGGGAGGCGAGCAAGCCGCGCAAGUCGGUGAUGUAUGGCUGUACAUCGGUGAUCUCUGGCGAGGACAUGCUCCGGCAGUUAACCAUCUUGGGUGCAUCGCAGAACCCGUAAGGGCCUACUGCAUAUACUCUGGCGUGUGCGUUUAUCGAUGGCGUUGCCAUCAUGUAGGCUUGCGCUGGCCUUGAGGUGUGCUGUUGCGGAUGCUGCCAAUCGUGUCGGAUGUUUACAUGCGCAUCAACUCUUGUUUUAAGCCUGUUCGCCCCCUUUUCUCCUUGCCGGUCGUCUUCGCCCUCACUUGGGCCAACGUGACGAGGGACACCGUUGGGCAUCUCAUUCCCCUCACACACGCGCCCCGUACCCUCCUCUUCUUCCUCGUGCUUGCACGCCGACCUGAACACACGUGUGCGUGUGCGUGUGUGCCUCUCACGCGGCAGUAGCGGGGUACUGUGUUCUAUGUUCCGUGUUCUCCCC
This 2453-nucleotide unclassified non-coding RNA is filed under the name Leishmania donovani. Its description in RNAcentral is "gene:LdHU3.26.3100(CDS-product:SLY1_protein_putat ive)". The record is from RNAcentral. Lineage: Eukaryota; Euglenozoa; Kinetoplastea; Trypanosomatida; Trypanosomatidae.